AUGAUUUUGGAUGCAGAAUAUAUUUUGAAAAUUACUGAUUCCAUUUCCAGAAUGCUGAAGGAAAUGGAGGAAAUGGCAUUUUCUGAUGACAGCUCUAGUACCUACCCUGUGGAGCUGUAUGAGGGCCACUGCUUUUGCUUUAAAACUGAGAAUCAGAGUGUAUGAGCUAAAGCCAAACCCCACAGUUGGAGUGCUUUUAAGACCUGGAACAAGUUAAGAUGUAUGUUUUCUAAUUUAUGAAAGAGGCAAAGAAUGACAGACAAAGAAAGGCCAGGAUAAAGAGAGGAUACAGAGAGGAUAAAGAGAAACUGCCUAUAUGUAAUUAUGAUGUAAGUAUGUAGUUACAAACUGAGAGGUUUUUCAGACAUUAUGUGAUAUUUGCCAUUCCCACAAAAGAAGAAAAGAUAGCACUUUAACAAUGUUUAGAGAAGCUGAGAUAUUUUGCAUUAAAUAGAAAUUCUUGCUGUACACCCCUUUAUUUAAUAUCUCUAAUAAACCACUUUCAACAAUGGUGUUUGGCUAUAAUCUUUAUCAGCUUUCAUUAGUAAUAUUGCUGGGGUAUAUAUAUUAAUAUAGGAGCAUAUGCAAAUAUAUUUCUAUGUUCAGGUUGUGUUGAAAGAUGAUUGUAAAAGAUUUUGCAGCUUUUGAGUUCAAGGAAUCUAAAAUAAGAAAAUGCAAAUUUUUUUAUGCCUACCUGCUUAGGCAUAUACAUCCUGACCAGUUUUGGAUUUCAUGAUCCCAGACUGCCUGUCAUUGCCAGGGAUUAAUAAUGUACUAUAAUGAACAAAUUUUUUUCCUUUAUGUUUAAUUCAUAUCAAUAUAACUGAAUUAUUGCAGCACCUUCUUUGGGGUCACACCAGGGCAGAGCAGAGGGGGACAAUCCCCAGCUUCUACCUGCAGGACAGGCUUCUUUUGAUGCAGCCCAGGAUACAGUUAGUUUUCUGUGCUGUAAACACUUUGUUGCAGGGCUGCUCAUCAUUCCACUUAUCACCCAGUCCGUGUUCAUGUUGGGAUUGCUCUGACC
This 1024-nucleotide long non-coding RNA is filed under the name Taeniopygia guttata (zebra finch). RNAcentral describes it as "lncRNA (ENSTGUG00000023695.1)". Lineage: Eukaryota; Metazoa; Chordata; Aves; Passeriformes; Estrildidae. The record is from RNAcentral.